Molecule: transfer RNA, 72 nt
Filed under: Camelus bactrianus (Bactrian camel)
Lineage: Eukaryota; Metazoa; Chordata; Mammalia; Artiodactyla; Camelidae
Also listed under: 2 other names
Rfam family: tRNA
About the family: Transfer RNA (tRNA) molecules are approximately 80 nucleotides in length. Their secondary structure includes four short double-helical elements and three loops (D, anti-codon, and T loops).
Source: Rfam by way of RNAcentral
AGGGGAACAGCUCAGAGGCAGAGCGCAUGCUCAGCAUGCACGAGGUCCUGGGUUCAAUCCCCAGUACCUCCA